UCGACUAGCAUGCGAGUCAGGUGUCUUCGGACGCCGGCAUACGGCUCAGUAACACGUAGGAACCUACCCUCAGGACUGAGAUAACCCCGGGAAACUGGGGCUAAUAUUAGAUAGAUAAAAGAUACUGGAAUGUUCUUUUAUCCAAAGCUUUUGCGCCUGAGGAUGGGCCUGCGUCCGAUUAGGUUGUUGGUGGGGUAAUGGCCCACCAAGCCUGCGAUCGGUACGGGCAGUGGGAGCUGAAGCCCGGAGUUGGGGACUGAGACAAGGCCCCAGGCCCUACGGGGCGCAGCAGGCGCGAAACCUCUGCAAUGCGGGAAACCGUGACAGGGGGAUCCCAAGUGCUCAUGCAUUGCAUGGGCUGUUCUUUGGUCUAAGUAACCAGAGAGU
This 387-nucleotide ribosomal RNA is filed under the name uncultured methanogenic archaeon. RNAcentral's name for it is "bacterial SSU rRNA". It matches the Rfam family "Archaeal small subunit ribosomal RNA", at positions 40 to 435 of the family's 1478-position model. Lineage: Archaea; Methanobacteriati; Methanobacteriota. The record is from RNAcentral.